This 460-nucleotide ribosomal RNA is filed under the name uncultured bacterium. RNAcentral's name for it is "partial 16S ribosomal RNA". It matches the Rfam family "Bacterial small subunit ribosomal RNA", at positions 338 to 795 of the family's 1533-position model. The record is from RNAcentral.
CCUACGGGUGGCAGCAGUGAGGAAUAUUGGUCAAUGGGCUUACGCCUGAACCAGCCAAGUCGCGUGAGGGAAGACUGCCCUAUGGGUUGUAAACCUCUUUUGUCAGGGAGCAAUUGGCGCUACGUGUAGCGUUAUCGAGAGUACCUGAAGAAAAAGCAUCGGCUGACUCCGUGCCAGCAGCCGCGGUAAUACGGAGGAUGCGAGCGUUAUCCGGAUUUAUUGGGUUUAAAGGGUGCGUAGGCGGAAUGCCAAGUCAGCGGUAACAUCGCGGGGCUCAACCUCGCUCCGCCGUUGAAACUGGCGGUCUUGAGUGGGCGAGAAGUAUGCGGAAUGCGUGGUGUAGCGGUGAAAUGCAUAGAUAUCACGCAGAACUCCGAUUGCGAAGGCAGCAUACCGGCGCCCAACUGACGCUGAAGCACGAAAGCGUGGGUAUCGAACAGGAGUAGAUACCCGGGUAGUC